Molecule: RNA transcript, 1310 nt
Organism: Octopus sinensis (East Asian common octopus)
Lineage: Eukaryota; Metazoa; Mollusca; Cephalopoda; Octopoda; Octopodidae
Gene name: chromosome-associated kinesin KIF4A-like
Exons: 12
Source: RefSeq, a predicted model, not a curated record
GUUCUAUUUCUUAGAUCCUGAAAACCAACCGAGUUAAUCUCAUAAAGAAAAUGAAGAAAGAAGCUGGCGUUUACCGUAGUUGGAAAAUGAAAAAAGAUGUGGAAGUUAACAAGCUUCUACAGAAUGACCGAAAAAGACAAUUUGAAAUCCAAAAGCUACAAAGAGCUCAAGAAAAGCAGCAGGCCAUACUUAAAAGGAAAUCUGAAGAGGCUGCAGUUGCAAACAAAAGAUUAAAAGAGGCAUUAAAGAAGCAAGCUCUUGUCAGGAAUGAUCGCAACAAUAAUUUUGAAAGAUAUGACGCUAGUGCAAAUGCAACAAAAUUAAAGACACUAUUGGAACAAGAAUUGGAAGUGAAAGUUCGAGUCCAGGAAGCAAAAUACCACUUAAAGAAUUUGGUUGAAGACCGAAAAACUUUGUCUUUGGAGUUGAGGCGCUUGAAAAAUUCAGAUCCACCUACAAAGAAACGUAUAACAACUGAUGGUGAUGGCAGUCCAAAGGAGGUGAACAUUAGUAUCAUAAAGUUAACUGAUGAAAUUAAUGACAGAAAUGUUCAAAUUGCCACUCUUCAAUCAGAAAUCCAAGAGGCAGAAAAUGAUAAAUUCAAAGGAUGUGUUGAAACAAUCCGUAGCAUCAACGAUUCUAAAGUUCUUUUGAACUUUUUAAUUGAGAAGAGUAUCAAAGAACGGAUUGACCACAAUAAUGACAAGUCUACUGUAAAAGACCUUAAAAAUAAUUAUGUGGAAGCUAUCAAAGAGAAAGACUCAAGUGAAAUGAAAGUGAAAUCAUUACAAAAUCAGCAUGAAUCAAGUCUUGUGGACUUGCAGCAGAAAUAUGAAAGCAAGAUAUCGUUUUUACUAAAACAACUGCAAAAUGGGUCAGAGGAAGAAGAGAGCCCAGUGCCAAAUGGUGUACACGGAGCACAUAAUACCUUUUUUGUUCCUGACACUCUAGAUGUUUUAGAUAAUGACCCAGACUAUCACCCUGAUAGCUCGAUGGAAUUCGACACACCUUAUAUGAAAGUGACCUAGAAACAAGCAAAACCUUUGAAAAGUUGCAGGUGUUUACUCAGUAAAUGCAAAUCCAAAGUUUGCCCAUGUUUCAAGAAGACAGCGUUCUGUUUGCCUUCAUGUUCUUGUGCUAAUUGUGAAAAUAAGCCGACAUCUGUAUUUGACUCAUCCACCAGCGAUGUGGACAACGAAAAUGAAGACAGACUGAUAGAAUAAGUACUAGAAUCGAUUCAGUCAACUAAAAAUUCUUCAAAGCAGUGCCCCAGCAUGGCCACAGUCUAAUGAUUGAAACAAGUAAAAGAU